AGUUCCCUGCGAUGUUCGUGAUAAAUGGUAAUCUUAGAGCCAACACCUCUUUUUUGGGGGCCUUACACUGCUGGAGUGUGCAUGCUCGCACAAUAAGCGAGAAGCCUGAACCAGCAAAUAGGCACCCACUUUAACUAGAGGUUCAAGAAAUACUGUUUACACGGCAUCCGCGGGGUUUUU
Molecule: non-coding RNA, 180 nt
Filed under: Syntrophorhabdaceae bacterium
Lineage: Bacteria; Pseudomonadati; Thermodesulfobacteriota; Syntrophorhabdia; Syntrophorhabdales; Syntrophorhabdaceae
Also listed under: 1 other name
Description: 6S RNA
Rfam family: 6S / SsrS RNA
About the family: E. coli 6S RNA was the first non coding RNA to be sequenced, but its function was unknown until recently. It consists of 184 nucleotides that fold into an extended hairpin structure with a large single-stranded internal bulge.
Source: RNAcentral